UUUCCCCUAUCACUCAGGCACUGGCAGGGUCCUUGGCCCACUCCUGUUGGCCGCCGCGGCUCCAAAGCGAGCUGGGCAGAUGUGCCUGAGACAGGUUUGACCAGGCAACUGAAAAGACAUCCCUAAGGGAAGACAAAGCAAAGGUAUGAAAGGAACACACGUCCCUGACUGACUAGGAGGAACAGAGCUGCCUGCUGUCUGGAACCGCUUCCUCCCAGACUAAGUGAGAAAUAAACUUCUGUUUUCUAUAUG
Molecule: long non-coding RNA, 252 nt
Filed under: Homo sapiens (human)
Lineage: Eukaryota; Metazoa; Chordata; Mammalia; Primates; Hominidae
Description: HSALNT0368438
Source: RNAcentral